RNAcentral lists this ribosomal RNA (505 nucleotides) under uncultured bacterium. Its description in RNAcentral is "partial 16S ribosomal RNA". It matches the Rfam family "Bacterial small subunit ribosomal RNA", at positions 28 to 507 of the family's 1533-position model. The record is from RNAcentral.
GACGAACGCUGGCGGCGUGCCUAAUACAUGCAAGUAGAACGCACAGUUUAUACCGUAGCUUGCUACACCAUAGACUGUGAGUUGCGAACGGGUGAGUAACGCGUAGGUAACCUGCCUGGUAGCGGGGGAUAACUAUUGGAAACGAUAGCUAAUACCGCAUAAUAUUAAUUAUUGCAUGAUAAUUAAUUGAAAGGUGCAAUUGCACCACUACCAGAUGGACCUGCGUUGUAUUAGCUAGUAGGUGAGGUAACGGCUCACCUAGGCGACGAUACAUAGCCGACCGGAGAGGGUGGUCGGCCACACUGGGACGGAGACACGGCACAGACGCCUACGGGAGGCAGCAGUAGGGAAUCUUCGGCAAUGGACGAAAGUCUGACCGAGCAACGCCGCGUGAGUGAAGAAGGUUGUCGGAUCGUAAAGCUCGGUUGUAAGAGAAGAACGGGUGUGAGAGUGGAAAGUUCACACUGUGACGGUAUCCGAUCAGAAAGGGACGGCUAACUACGUG